AUGCAGUCGAGCGGUAGCACAGGAGAGCUUGCUCUCUGGGUGACGAGCGGCGGACGGGUGAGUAAUGUCUGGGAAACUGCCCGAUGGAGGGGGAUAACUACUGGAAACGGUAGCUAAUACCGCAUAACGUCUUCGGACCAAAGAGGGGGACCUUCGGGCCUCUUGCCAUCGGAUGUGCCCAGAUGGGAUUAGCUAGUAGGUGGGGUAAUGGCUCACCUAGGCGACGAUCCCUAGCUGGUCUGAGAGGAUGACCAGCCACACUGGAACUGAGACACGGUCCAGACUCCUACGGGAGGCAGCAGUGGGGAAUAUUGCACAAUGGGCGCAAGCCUGAUGCAGCCAUGCCGCGUGUAUGAAGAAGGCCUUCGGGUUGUAAAGUACUUUCAGCGAGGAGGAAGGCGUUGUGGUUAAUAACCGCAGCGAUUGACGUUACUCGCAGAAGAAGCACCGGCUAACUCCGUGCCAGCAGCCGCGGUAAUACGGAGGGUGCAAGCGUUAAUCGGAAUUACUGGGCGUAAAGCGCACGCAGGCGGUCUGUCAAGUCGGAUGUGAAAUCCCCGGGCUCAACCUGGGAACUGCAUUCGAAACUGGCAGGCUAGAGUCUUGUAGAGGGGGGUAGAAUUCCAGGUGUAGCGGUGAAAUGCGUAGAGAUCUGGAGGAAUACCGGUGGCGA
This 673-nucleotide ribosomal RNA is filed under the name Enterobacter sp. MYb174. Its description in RNAcentral is "bacterial SSU rRNA". It matches the Rfam family "Bacterial small subunit ribosomal RNA", at positions 55 to 718 of the family's 1533-position model. The record is from RNAcentral. Lineage: Bacteria; Pseudomonadati; Pseudomonadota; Gammaproteobacteria; Enterobacterales; Enterobacteriaceae.